ACAAUUCAAAUUGCGAAAUAGAAUCCCAUAGCUCCAAACCCGAACUUAAAUAGAGGUAAAUCCCUUUUACUUUUUUUUUGUUUAUUUUUCAAUUUAUUUUCCUUCUUUUUUAAAUACGAACUUUUGUUUUAUUUGUUUGUAGGCUCGAUUUAGGUUCUUCAAAAUAACAAGUAGCUUUUUUUAAUUGUGUUGGUUAUAUUUGUUGAUUGGACUUUUUUCUUGUGUUGAAUUUUGUGUAUGAAUGAUUGUUUAAGAUUUGGGUUUCGAGUCUUCUACUUUGGCGGUUCAAGUAGUGGAUGCUUCUAUGUCCAAUGGUAAAGGAGGUAGACGUAGUAAUGAUGAAGGUAAAAGCGUUGGAUGGUGAUGUUGUGUAGGAGAUGGUGGUGUAGAAGGGUGAUGAGGUGUUGAGUGGCUAAGGGUUGUGUAGAAUAUAACGAUGAUCGUACGGGAUUGGAACCCAA
Molecule: long non-coding RNA, 461 nt
Filed under: Gossypium raimondii (Peruvian cotton)
Lineage: Eukaryota; Viridiplantae; Streptophyta; Magnoliopsida; Malvales; Malvaceae
Description: long non-coding RNA (GRAI_LNC004976)
Source: RNAcentral